Molecule: ribosomal RNA, 253 nt
Filed under: uncultured bacterium
Lineage: Bacteria
Description: partial 16S ribosomal RNA
Rfam family: Bacterial small subunit ribosomal RNA
Source: RNAcentral
GACAGAGGUGGCGAGCGUUGUUCGGAAUUACUGGGCUUAAAGGGCGAGUAGGCGGUGGAGCAAGUCUGAGGUGGAAUCUUAGGGCUUAACCCUAAAACUGCCUUAGAAACUGUUUUACUUGAGUCAGUGAGGGGAGGGCGGAAUUCCUGGUGUAGCGGUGAAAUGCGUAGAUAUCAGGAGGAAGGCCUGUGGCGAAGGCGGCCCUCUGGUACUGAACUGACGCUGAGGCGCGAAAGCGUGGGUAGCAAACAGG